This 1471-nucleotide ribosomal RNA is filed under the name uncultured Bordetella sp. Its description in RNAcentral is "partial 16S-23S ribosomal RNA intergenic spacer". It matches the Rfam family "Bacterial small subunit ribosomal RNA". Lineage: Bacteria; Pseudomonadati; Pseudomonadota; Betaproteobacteria; Burkholderiales; Alcaligenaceae. The record is from RNAcentral.
GGUUCUGAUCUUCAUGGCUCAGGUCGAACGCUGGCGGUGCUUUACACAUGCAAGUCGAACGGCGACACGGACUUCGGUCUGGUGGCGAGUGGCGACGGGUGGAAGGUAAUGUCGGAACGUGCCUAGUAGCGGGGGGAUAACUACGCGAAAGCGUAGCUAAUACGCCACGCCACUUCAGGGAAAACCCAGAGGGGACCUUCAGACUCCGCACUAUGCGACAGCCGUGUCGGAUUCGCUAGUUGGUGGGAGUAACGGCUCACCGAGGCGACGAUCCGUAGCUGGUUUGAGAGGACAGCCAGCCACGCAGGACUGAGACGGCCCAGACUCCUACGGGAGGCAGCAGUGGGGGAAUUUUGGACAAUGGGGAAACCUGAUCCAGCCAUCCCGCGUGUGCGAUGAAGGCCUUCAGGUUGUAACGCCUGGCGGGGAAAGAAACGGCCUGGGAUAAUACCCCGUGCAACUGACAGUACCUGCAGAAUAAGCACCGGCUAGCUACGUGCCAGCAGCCGCGGUAAUACGUAGGGUGCAAGCGUUAAUCGGAAUUACUGGGCGUAAAGCGUGCACCGGGCGGUUCGGAAAGAAAGAUGUGAAAUCCCAGAGCUUAACUUUGGAACUGCAUUUUUAACUACCGAGCUAAGGUGUCAGAGGAGGUGGAAUUCCGCGUGUAGCAGUGAAAUGCGUAGAUAUGCGGAGGAACACCGAUGGCGAAGGCAGCCUCCUGGAUAUUACCCCAACGCUCUUUUUAAGCAUUAAGGAGCAAACAGGAUUGAGGUACUGGUAGUCCGCCUAAACGAUGUCAACUAUUUCAUUGCGUGGGACGUGGGCCUUGGUAGCGCAGCUAACGCGUGAAGUUGACCGCCUGGGAGUACGGUCGCAAGAUUAAAACUCAAAGGCUGACGGGACCGCACAACGGUGGAUGAUGUGGAUUAAUUCGAUGCAACGCGAAAAACCUUACCUACCCUUGACAUGUCCCCAGAUCCCGAAGAGAUUUGGGAGUGCUCGCAAGAGAACCGGAACACAGGUCUGCAUCAUGUCUAUUAGCUCGUGUCGUGAGAUGUUGAGAUUAGCGAUCCCACAUGAAGCACAACCCUUGUCAUUAGUUGCUACGAAGACUUUUCUAAUGAGACUGCCCGGUGACAAACCCGGAGGAAGAGGUGGGGAUGACGUCAAGUCCCUCAUGGCCCUUAUGGUGAAGACCGCACGUCAUACAAUGGUCGGGACAGGUGCUCAACCCGCGAGGGCGUGAUCCGGCCCGAUGUCGUCGGAUCAUGAUCUACUGGCAACUCGACUGCGUGAAGUGGAGAUCGCUAGUAAUCGCGGAUCAGCAUGUCGCGGUGAAUACGUUCCCGGGUCUUGUACACACCGCCCGUCACACCAUGGGAGUGGGUUUUACCAGAAGUAGUUAGCCUAACCGUAAGGAGGCGAUUACCACGGUAGGAUUCAUGACUGGGGUGAAGUCGUAACAAGGUAG